This 450-nucleotide ribosomal RNA is filed under the name uncultured bacterium. RNAcentral describes it as "partial 16S ribosomal RNA". It matches the Rfam family "Bacterial small subunit ribosomal RNA", at positions 354 to 796 of the family's 1533-position model. The record is from RNAcentral.
GUGGGGAAUAUUGGACAAUGGGCGCAAGCCUGAUCCAGCCAUACCGCGUGGGUGAAGAAGGCCUUCGGGUUGUAAAGCCCUUUUGUUGGGAAAGAAAUCCUGUCGGUUAAUACCUGGCGGGGAUGACGGUACCCAAAGAAUAAGCACCGGCUAACUUCGUGCCAGCAGCCGCGGUAAUACGAAGGGUGCAAGCGUUACUCGGAAUUACUGGGCGUAAAGCGUGCGGAGGUGGUGGUUUAAGUCCGUUGUGAAAGCCCUGGGCUCAACCUGGGAAUUGCAGUGGAUACUGGAUCACUAGAGUGUGGUAGAGGGAUGCGGAAUUUCUGGUGUAGCAGUGAAAUGCGUAGAGAUCAGAAGGAACAUCCGUGGCGAAGGCGGCAUCCUGGGCCAACACUGACACUGAGGCACGAAAGCGUGGGGAGCAAACAGGAUUAGAUACCCGUGUAGUCC